GGGGGAAGGGUUGCUGAUUUGGUCAAGGGAAGGGGGAGAAGAGGCGGUUGUUGAAGGUGUGGCAGAGGAGGGAGAUGAUGAUGGUGAGGAGGAGGCACUCCUCCCAUUAGAUCAGCGCAAAACGAAGAGGGAAGAGAAGCAUAAAGCAGUGGCCGCUGCGGCGGCUGCAGAGGCUGCGACACGCAUGACCGGAAGCCACCUACUGCAGCAUGAUGGUCUGGUAAAUGUUGGGUCAAGGAAGAAUAGGAGCCGAGAGAACCGUGUAUAGCUCUCGGCACAAACCUUCCUCCGGAAUCAGCAGCGACGUCAAGAGAAACUUUU
Molecule: long non-coding RNA, 321 nt
Filed under: Musa acuminata (dwarf banana)
Lineage: Eukaryota; Viridiplantae; Streptophyta; Magnoliopsida; Zingiberales; Musaceae
Description: long non-coding RNA (MACU_LNC004454)
Source: RNAcentral